This 58-nucleotide microRNA precursor is filed under the name Xenoturbella bocki. RNAcentral's name for it is "Xbo-Mir-33_pre stem-loop". The record is from RNAcentral. Lineage: Eukaryota; Metazoa; Xenacoelomorpha; Xenoturbellidae.
GUGCAUUGUAGUUGCAUUGCAUGUGAUCUAAACUGUGCAACACAAUUACAUUGCAACC